This is a long non-coding RNA of Betta splendens (Siamese fighting fish), 1812 nucleotides long. Lineage: Eukaryota; Metazoa; Chordata; Actinopteri; Anabantiformes; Osphronemidae. The record is from Ensembl.
AUGUUUGUUCCGCCCAUAGUCAUUAAAAAGGUUCCGACCCUGAAAGCAAACAUGUUUCGUUUGUGUCAAACGAUAUAUAUAUAUAUAUAUAUAUAUAUAUAUAUAUAUAUAUAUAUAUAUAUAUAUAUAUAUAUAUAUAUAUAUAUAUACAACAUCAACAGAACUCUAAGGGCCUUCAUUGCAAACUCGAUGAGGUUGUGGAGAACCACCCUUGAAGCCAAUGGGAAGCCACUUGCCCAAGUAUCCAUCAAACGUGGCAUAUACCAAGGAGAUGCACUGUCCCCACUGCUGUUCUGCAUAGGUCUGAACCCCCUCAGCCAAAUAAUAAACAAGACUGGCUAUGGAUACCGACUCCGGAACGGGGCCACUAUAAGUCACCUCCUCUACAUGGAUGACAUCAAGCUGUACGCCAAGAGUGAGCGAGACAUCGACUCGCUGAUCCACACCACCAGGAUCUACAGCUCGGACAUCGGGAUGUCAUUCGGACUCGAGAAAUGUGGGAGGAUGGUGACAAAGAGAGGCAAGGUAAUCCACACAGAAGGGGUCUCACUCCCAGAAGGAAGAAUAGCAGACAUUGAGGACAAUUACAAGUACCUUGGAAUACCACAGGCAAACGGCAACCUUGAACAGGCAACAAGGAAUGCGGCAACAGCCAAAUACCUCCAAAGAGUAAGGCAAGUCCUAAGAAGCCAGCUCAAUGGCAAGAACAAAUCCCGGGCAAUAAACAGCUACGCUCUGCCAGUGAUCAGAUACCCUGCGGGAAUAAUAAGGUGGCCAAAGGAAGAGAUACAGACCACAGAUGUUAAGACACGAAAGCUUCUCACCAUGCAUGGAGGGUUCCACCCCAAAUCCAGCACCCUGAGACUGUACGCUAGCCGCAAGGAAGGAGGCCGAGGACUAGUGAGCGUGAGAGCCACUAUCCAGGAUGAAACAUCCAAGAUCCAUAAGUACAUCAAGGAUAAGGCCCCGACAGAUGACGUGCUGAGUGAAUGUCUCAGACAGUGGAGAACGGAGGAUGAGAUGCUGGAAGAGGGACCAUCAUGGGAGGACAAGCCCUUACACGGGAUGUACCACCGGAACAUAACUGAAGUGGCUGAUCUCAACAAAUCCUACCAAUGGCUUGAAAGGGCUGGGCUGAAGGACAGCACAGAGGCACUCAUCCUGGCCGCACAGGAGCAGGCCCUGAGCACCAGAGCCAUAGAGGCCCAGAUCUACCACACCAGACAAGACCCAAGGUGUAGACUGUGCAAAGAGGCCCCAGAGACGGUCCAGCACAUAACUGCAGGGUGUAAGAUGCUGGCAGGCAAAGCAUACAUGGAACGCCAUAACCAAGUGGCUGGCAUAGUAUACAGGAACAUCUGCGCGGAGUAUGGACUGGAAACCCCAAGGUCAAAGUGGGAAACACCUCCCAAGGUGGUAGAGAAUGAGCGAGCCAAGAUCCUGUGGGACUUCCAGAUCCAGACUGACAGAAUGGUAAUGGCGAACCAACCAGACAUUGUGGUGGUGGAUAAAGAGCAGAGGAAAGCCGUAGUGGUGGAUGUGGCAAUACCAAGCGGUGGCAACAUCAGGAAAAAGGAACAUGAGAAACUAGAGAAAUACCAAGGGCUCAGAGAAGAACUGGAGAAGGCUUGGAAGGUGAAGGCCACAGUGGUGCCUGUGGUGAUCGGAGCACUAGGGGCUGUGACCCCCAAACUGGAGGAGUGGCUACGACAGAUCCCUGGAAAAACAUCCGAAAUCUCAGUCCAGAAAAGUGCAGUCCUAGGAACAGCAAGGAUACUGCGCAGAACCCUCAAGCUCCCUGGCCUCUGGUAG